CCCUUAGAUGUUCUGGGCCGCACGCGUGCUACACUGAGUGGAUCAGCGGGUCAGGUUGCGCGAAAGCGUUUCCUAAUCUUUAAAUCCGCUCGUGAUGGGGAUUGACGGUUGCAAUUUUCUGUCAUGAACGAGGAAUACCUUGUAAGCGCGGGUCAUCAUCCCGCGCUGAAUACGUCCCUGCCCUUUGUACACACCGCCCGUCGCUACUACCGAUUGAAUGGUUUAGUGAGAAUUUUGGACUGGAACUCCCUUGCUCAGCAAUGGGCGAGGGGGAGUCCGGGAAGCUAUUCUAACUGUAUCAUUUAGAGGAAGUAAAAGUCGUAACA
RNAcentral lists this ribosomal RNA (326 nucleotides) under uncultured eukaryote. RNAcentral describes it as "partial 18S ribosomal RNA". It matches the Rfam family "Eukaryotic small subunit ribosomal RNA", at positions 1470 to 1796 of the family's 1831-position model. The record is from RNAcentral.